Molecule: unclassified non-coding RNA, 332 nt
Filed under: soil metagenome
Description: partial contains 5.8S ribosomal RNA, internal transcribed spacer 2, and large subunit ribosomal RNA
Rfam family: 5.8S ribosomal RNA (bases 1-120)
Source: RNAcentral
GAUGAAGAACGUAGCGAAAUGCGAUAAGUAAUGUGAAUUGCAGAAUUCAGUGAAUCAUCGAAUCUUUGAACGCACAUUGCGCCCGCUAGUAUUCUGGCGGGCAUGCCUGUUCGAGCGUCAUUUCAACCAUCAAGCCCUGUUUAGGCUUGUGUUGGGGCCCUGCGGUUGCCGCAGCCCCCUAAAUGCAGUGGCGGGCUCGUUGUCACUCCGAGCGCAGUAGCGUAUCUCGCUCUGGGCGUGGCGGCGGGUGCUAGCCGUGAAACACACACUAAGGUUGACCUCGGAUCAGGUAGGAAUACCCGCUGAACUUAAGCAUAUCAAUAAGCGGAGGA